This 1512-nucleotide long non-coding RNA is filed under the name Ananas comosus (pineapple). Its description in RNAcentral is "long non-coding RNA (ACOM_LNC038873)". Lineage: Eukaryota; Viridiplantae; Streptophyta; Magnoliopsida; Poales; Bromeliaceae. The record is from RNAcentral.
GUGUCCUCUAGACUGAUUGUCCAUGAUCCGUUAGCUUUUGCAGAAAUCGAAGAGUCGAUUUCGAUGCGUUUUUCGGCGAAAUUCGCCGAAAGAACGCGGUUUUGGUUCGGAUUUCUUCCGACGUCGUUUGGUUGCUCUGUGAGUGGUCGAUAAGCCUUGUUGGCUGGUCACCAUCAUCACCUUGUGGGUUCGGUGAUGACGGGUGAGCGACGGUGGGUUCCGGUAUCGAAUUUGACACUUCCGGGAACCCGUAUUCGUACAAUUAUCCGGCGAUAAUUGUGUCGUGGUGUUAUCUUAUGUUUGCUGCCAAAACAUCCAAAUUGGAGUGUUUUGUGGCAGCGGGUGACUUGUAGCAUGGGUCGGUGCGUUCCGGGACAUUUCAGUGGUCCCGACGGAGUCCCGGUGCGAUUUUCGGGACUUCCGGCGAGUUACGGUAGUCGGUUUUGAGAAACUGAUCUCCGUGGGUUUGUUAGAGGGAUUAUGAUGUAGUGUUUCUUAGUUGUGGGUUAGACACUAACCCAGUGGACCCUCCUUAGGUCCUGUUGACGUUCUUUUGUAGUCAGGAGACAGGCGCGACAGUUGUACAGGUGGGUACUUCGAUCCGACGUUGGUACAGUGGUGCACGCUCGGUGAUGGUUUCUUACCUUUGCUCUUUCGUUAUUAUCUAGCAUAUAUAUAUCUUGAUAUAUAGUGUUGAGCCUAGCACCAUGUUGUUUGAUUAUACUCUACUCGUUGUUUGCAUGCUUAGUAUCCUGAGUAGGAGUAGAGUAGUUCUAUCCGCAUCCGUAUCUGUUGACCUAGUUGGUCUGUUCUGCAUUCCUCUACUCAGUUAUUUCCAUGUUGAUAUCAUGCUUAGGAGUAGAGUUGACUUAUCUGUUCACUAUAUCUGUGAUUUGGUUGGGCGGUUCCCCAUUUGAUAUCUAUGACCUAUUCGGUCGAGUUGCCACAGUUCUAUCUUGACAUACGUAGCCGAUUAGUUGCUGAUGGCCUAUACGGUCGGUGUGCCCUAAGGGGCUGGAUUGUCGGCUAGUUGCCGAUGGAUGAUCUUUGAGUAUACUACAUUGAUCGCCACUGCAGGUACGCAUUUCACGAACACCAGCGGUCUGAUCCACCGCAAGAGGGUGUUCUUUUUCGGAAAAGUGGUUGGAUUGCCAACCCGUGAGCCCAGGGGCUUUAUUGCGAGGGUAUAUGCUUCUGACCCAGGGGCUUCAUUGCGAGGGUCAGGUACUAUGGUCCUGACCCAGGGGCUUCAUUGCGAGGGUCAGGAACAGGUUGAGCAGUGUGGCAUGGGCCUGAGGUCUUCGGACCAAUAAGGCAGCGAGAUUGGGUACUUUUGAGGUUAUCGUCAGUUGACGCAUGCAUACAGUAGCUGUAGUGUUUAUUUUCAGUACAUCCUUAUCUGUUUAUUGUAGCUACUGUUUUAUUUACCUGCAUCUAUACUUGUCAGUUCCUUACAUAUCUCUUUCGUUACUAUGGUUCCUACUGUAUUUCCACUGACCCGUACUGUUGUUU